UACGUAGGGGGCUAGCGUUGCCCGGAAUCAUUGGGCGUAAAGCGCGUGUAGGCGGUCCGGUAAGUCCGCUGUGAAAGUCGGGGGCUCAACCCUCGAAUGCCGGUGGAUACUGUCGGGCUAGAGUGCGGAAGGGGCGAGUGGAAUUCCUGGUGUAGCGGUGAAAUGCGCAGAUAUCAGGAGGAACACCAAUUGCGAAGGCAGCUCGCUGGGACGUAACUGACGCUGAGACGCGAAAGCGUGGGGAGCAAACGGG
This 253-nucleotide ribosomal RNA is filed under the name uncultured bacterium. RNAcentral describes it as "partial 16S ribosomal RNA". It matches the Rfam family "Bacterial small subunit ribosomal RNA", at positions 524 to 776 of the family's 1533-position model. The record is from RNAcentral.